This 90-nucleotide small RNA is filed under the name Flavobacterium noncentrifugens. RNAcentral describes it as "Flavo-1 RNA". It matches the Rfam family "Flavo-1 RNA". The record is from Rfam by way of RNAcentral. Lineage: Bacteria; Pseudomonadati; Bacteroidota; Flavobacteriia; Flavobacteriales; Flavobacteriaceae.
UCCUAGCCCCGAUAGUAGUGGAAAUCCUUUUAUAAAGUUGUAGCGCAGCGGAAAUUUUAUAAAAGAUUGCAACGGAUAGCGGGAAUAGCU